This 406-nucleotide unclassified non-coding RNA is filed under the name soil metagenome. RNAcentral describes it as "partial contains 5.8S ribosomal RNA, internal transcribed spacer 2, and large subunit ribosomal RNA". The stretch from base 1 to 121 matches the Rfam family "5.8S ribosomal RNA", at positions 35 to 154 of the family's 154-position model. The record is from RNAcentral.
GAUGAAGAACGCAGCGAAAUGCGAUAAGUAAUGUGAAUUGCAGAAUUCAGUGAAUCAUCGAAUCUUUGAACGCACCUUGCGCCCUUUGGCCAUUCCGAAGGGCAUGCCUGUUUGAGUAUCAUGAACACCUCAACUCUUCAUGGUUUUCCAUGAUGAGCUUGGACUUUGGGGGUCUUGCUGGCCUGUGGGUCGGCUCCUCUCAAAUGAAUCAGCUUGCCGGUUUUUGGUGGGCAUCACAGGUGUGAUAACUAUCUACGCUUGUGGUUUUCCACCAGGGUAACCUUCAGCAGUGGAGGUUCACUGGAGCUUACAAAUGUCUCUCCUCUGUGAGGACAGCACUUUGAAUGUUUGAUCUCAAAUCAGGUAGGACUACCCGCUGAACUUAAGCAUAUCAAUAAGCGGAGGA